This 478-nucleotide ribosomal RNA is filed under the name uncultured bacterium. RNAcentral's name for it is "bacterial SSU rRNA". It matches the Rfam family "Bacterial small subunit ribosomal RNA", at positions 24 to 518 of the family's 1533-position model. The record is from RNAcentral.
UCAGGACGAACGCUGGCGGCACGCUUAACACAUGCAAGUCGAACGGUGAAAUAGAGCUUGCUCUAUGGAUCAGUGGCGGACGGGUGAGUAACACGUGAGCAAUCUGCCUUUAAGAGGGGAAUAGCAACUGGAAACGGUUGGUAAUACCGCAUAACAUAUACGGACCGCAUGAUCUGUAUAUCAAAGAUUUAUCGCUUAAAGAUGAGCUCGCGUCUGAUUAGCUAGUUGGUGAGGUAACGGCCCACCAAGGCGACGAUCAGUAGCCGGACUGAGAGGUUGAACGGCCACAUUGGGACUGAGACACGGCCCAGACUCCUACGGGAGGCAGCAGUGGGGAAUAUUGCACAAUGGGCGCAAGCCUGAAUGCAGCGAUGCCGCGUGAGGGAAGAAGGUUUUCGGAUUGUAAACCUCUGUUGACAGGGACGAUUAUGACGGUACCUGUUCAGAAAGCUCCGGCUAACUACGUGCCAGCCGCCGC